Molecule: long non-coding RNA, 1241 nt
Organism: Sceloporus undulatus (fence lizard)
Lineage: Eukaryota; Metazoa; Chordata; Lepidosauria; Squamata; Phrynosomatidae
Exons: 4
Source: RefSeq, a predicted model, not a curated record
AUCCACGCUUCUUAGGCAUGUUCAAAAUGGAGGGCAUUCAAGAAAAAGGGAGCACACGACCCAAGCAAAGCUAAAACACUCAUGGAAAUGUAAAGUUCAUGCUUAGCUGUGUUCAGAAUGGAGGACGUUCAAGGAAAGUGGAGGACAUGGCCAGAGAAAACUUAUGGAAAUGUAAAAUUCAUGCUGCUUAGCCAUGCUGAGAAUGGAGGGCAUUGGAGGACAAUGGAGGACAUGGCUCAAUAAAAGCUAAAAACCGAUCAUUCUUCCUAUCAACACCAGAAGGAGUGACCUGCCUUUUAAGGAGAAACAUCGAGUGGGAAAAUAAAUCUGCUUUAUUGCUCUGCGUUAAAGAAGGAAAGAAAGAUCUUACAACAUUGGCUUAAUAUCCUCUCUGAAGGAACUGUCUUUUGGGGGACGUAUUACGAGGAAGCUUCAUUUGACCCCUGCAGAAGGUCAACAACUUAAUUAUCGUACUCAAGACAAAGCUACUCUGUGCACAGGAAAUGAAAGCUAAGUAGAGUCCGUUUGAAAAGAAAGACAUUUCCCUCUCUUGAAAGAAAUGAAACUUGCACAAUCCAAUAUUCUUUUCAUCCUGAGCAGACCUCCUGACUGGAUGUUAACUGAUGUGGAUCCUGCAAAGAAAGGAAAGGCAGGGUCCUUCCUGCCUUGGAAACACAAGAACCGCAGCCGGGUGAAGCUGUUUGGGAGACAAUCCCAUAAAGGACUUCAUACACGGGAGGGCUCAGCAGGCAGUGCCAUUGCGGUGUGUACAAAACUAAUUAAGAGGCCAAACAAACACUCUUGGCAUCUGUCUCUUUCAAAGAGCAACCAUAUCUUAAGGACGUGCUUGUCAACAUUGGUGGAAAGGGGUGCCCUUUGUUACCACAUGCUCUUACGCCAAGAACCAUGGCGAGUGGGAGUGUAGAAAACAACUGGCUUGGAUUCAGGUUUGCAGCAGGCAUUGUUCUUGGAGUCCUUUCUACUUCAGCCUUCCCUUCAUGUUUUGGACUACAGUGCCCACUGCGCUUGUCCAUGGGCCAUACAGGUUAGGGGUGAUAGCAGUUGAAAUCCAAAAUAUUUGGAUAGUACCAGGCAGGGGAAGAGUCUUUUACUUGUUAUGUGAUGAAUAUGGAAAGGAUCUUUUGUUUUAUAGCAUCCAGGUUGCAGGAUAACCUCUUCACAAAAAUGUGUAUGUACCAGUCCUACAAGUGUGUAGGCACCAGCUCAACAUAGAUUGGUUU